RNAcentral lists this ribosomal RNA (497 nucleotides) under uncultured bacterium. RNAcentral's name for it is "partial 16S ribosomal RNA". It matches the Rfam family "Bacterial small subunit ribosomal RNA", at positions 28 to 507 of the family's 1533-position model. The record is from RNAcentral.
GAUGAACGCUGGCGGCGUGCCUAAUACAUGCAAGUCGAGCGAACAGACGAGGAGCUUGCUCCUCUGACGUUAGCGGCGGACGGGUGAGUAACACGUGGAUAACCUACCUAUAAGACUGGGAUAACUUCGGGAAACCGGCGCUAAUACCGGAUAAUAUAUUGAACCGCAUGGUUCAAUAGUGAAAGACGGUUUUGCUGGCACUUAUAGAUGGAUCCGCGCUGCAUUAGCUAGUUGGUAAGGUAACGGCUUACCAAGGCAACGAGGCGUAGCCGACCUGAGAGGGUGAUCGGCCACACUGGAACUGAGACACGGUCCAGACUCCUACGGGAGGCAGCAGUAGGGAAUCUUCCGCAAUGGGCGAAAGCCUGACGGAGCAACGCCGCGUGAGUGAUGAAGGUCUUGGGAGCGUAAAACUCUGUUAUUGGGGAAGAACAAAUGUGUAAGUAACUAUGCACGUCUUGACGGUACCUAAUCAGAAAGCCACGGCUAACUACGUG